UUACCAGGUCUUGACAUCCCUCGACAACCCAAGAGAUUGGGCGUUCCCCUUCGGGGGACAGGGUGACAGGUGGUGCAUGGUUGUCGUCAGCUCGUGUCGUGAGAUGUUGGGUUAAGUCCCGCAACGAGCGCAACCCUCGCCUCUAGUUGCCAGCAUUCGGUUGGGCACUCUAGAGGGACUGCCGGCGACAAGUCGGAGGAAGGUGGGGAUGACGUCAAAUCAUCAUGCCCCUUAUGACCUGGGCUACACACGUGCUACAAUGGGCGGUACAAAGGGCUGCGAACCCGCGAGGGGGAGCGAAUCCCAAAAAGCCGCUCUCAGUUCGGAUUGCAGGCUGCAACUCGCCUGCAUGAAGCCGGAAUCGCUAGUAAUCGCGGAUCAGCAUGCCGCGGUGAAUACGUUCCCGGGCCUU
This 412-nucleotide ribosomal RNA is filed under the name uncultured Geobacillus sp. RNAcentral describes it as "bacterial SSU rRNA". It matches the Rfam family "Bacterial small subunit ribosomal RNA", at positions 971 to 1382 of the family's 1533-position model. The record is from RNAcentral. Lineage: Bacteria; Bacillati; Bacillota; Bacilli; Caryophanales; Anoxybacillaceae.